AUGUGGCAGGAAGGAGAAAACACCCAACUCCUCCUUCAGCCCUCGAGUCUGCCAGAGAAGGAAACCCUUGUGACUGUCCCCACUGUGGCCUGCAUGAUGCUUCUCCUUGGGCUCCUUGCUUAUGGGUCAGGAGUGGAUUCUCAGUCUGUGGUGACCCAGGAACCAUCACUCUCAGGGUCUCCUGGAGGGAUGAUCACACUCACCUGUGGCCUGAGCUCUGGCUCAGUCCCUACCAGUCAUUACCCCAGCUGGUACCAGCAGACUCCAGGCCAGGCUCCACACAUGCUCAUCUGCAGCCCAAACACCUGCCAUUCUGGGGUCCCUGGUCACUCCUCUGGCUCCAUUCUUGGGAGCAAAGUUGCCCUCCAUCACCGGGACUCAGUAGAUGAUGACUCUGAUCAUUACUGUGUGCUGCACAUGGGUAGUGGCAACUCCACAGUGAUUUAA
Molecule: non-coding RNA, 447 nt
Organism: Saimiri boliviensis boliviensis (Bolivian squirrel monkey)
Lineage: Eukaryota; Metazoa; Chordata; Mammalia; Primates; Cebidae
Source: the annotation of a RefSeq genome assembly